AUUGAACGCUGGCGGCAUGCCUUACACAUGCAAGUCGAACGGCAGCACGGGAGCUUGCUCCUGGUGGCGAGUGGCGAACGGGUGAGUAAUACAUCGGAACGUACCCUGAAGUGGGGGAUAACGUAGCGAAAGUUACGCUAAUACCGCAUAUUCUGUGAGCAGGAAAGAGGGGGAUCGCAAGACCUCUUGCUUUAGGAGCGGCCGAUGUCGGAUUAGCUAGUUGGUGAGGUAAAGGCUCACCAAGGCGACGAUCCGUAGCGGGUCUGAGAGGAUGAUCCGCCACACUGGGACUGAGACACGGCCCAGACUCCUACGGGAGGCAGCAGUGGGGAAUUUUGGACAAUGGGCGCAAGCCUGAUCCAGCCAUGCCGCGUGAGUGAAGAAGGCCUUCGGUUGUAAAGCUCUUCGGUUGGGAAGGAAAGUUAGCUCGGUUAAUACCUGGAGUAGA
This 448-nucleotide ribosomal RNA is filed under the name uncultured bacterium. RNAcentral's name for it is "bacterial SSU rRNA". It matches the Rfam family "Bacterial small subunit ribosomal RNA", at positions 30 to 473 of the family's 1533-position model. The record is from RNAcentral.